AGUAACGCGUGAGCAACCUGUCCCUUACAGGGGGAUAACACAGCGAAAGUUGUACUAAUACCGCAUGAGACCACAGCAUCACAUGGUGCAGGGGUCAAAGGAGCAAUCCGGUAAGGGGUGGGCUCGCGUCCGAUUAGAUAGUUGGUGAGGUAACGGCCCACCAAGUCGACGAUCGGUAGCCGACCUGAGAGGGUGAUCGGCCACAUUGGGACUGAGACACGGCCCAAACUCCUACGGGAGGCAGCAGUGGGGAAUAUUGGGCAAUUGGGGGGAAACCCUGACCCAGCAACGCCGCGUGAGGGAAGAAGGUUUUCGGAUCGUAAACCUCUGUCCCAGGUGAAGAGGAAGAGACGGUAGCCUGGGAGGAAGCCCCGGCUAACUACGUGCCAGCCGCUGC
RNAcentral lists this ribosomal RNA (397 nucleotides) under uncultured bacterium. RNAcentral's name for it is "bacterial SSU rRNA". It matches the Rfam family "Bacterial small subunit ribosomal RNA", at positions 109 to 518 of the family's 1533-position model. The record is from RNAcentral.